Long non-coding RNA from Sapajus apella (tufted capuchin), 5125 nucleotides. RefSeq lists it as uncharacterized. The record is from RefSeq and is a predicted model, not a curated record. The transcript is spliced from 2 exons. Lineage: Eukaryota; Metazoa; Chordata; Mammalia; Primates; Cebidae.
UGGUCUCGAACUCUUGACCUCAUGAUCCGCCCACCUCAGCCUCCCAAAGUGCUGGGAUUACAAGUGUGAGUCACUGUCCUGGCCCUUACUUUCAUAUGUUGAUUUAGUAUCCUGAAACUUUACUAAAGUCAUUUAUCACAAGAUCAGAAAGGAAAUCUUAAUGGCCACCUGCAGUGAACACCUUUUGAGCUUUAUUUUUUGCCUGGGUUCAUUGUGUCAUAAGAUACCUCUUUGUCCUUUAAGUGUUCAUCUUCCUUGGCCCCCAUGAUGUCACUGUCUGUGGGACCUUGUCCAACUCCUUGUACUUCUAUCUUAGCCUUCUGGUUAGAUUUAUCUUUUUCUGUAUAUUUGUAUGCCCAUCUUUAGCACUGUUCUUUGUCUGCUUUGCCUGUUACAUACUGUCACAGCCACCUAGCACUUAUACCCCAGUUACUACCAAAACUGUUCUUCUAGCCUCAAGUUUUCUUCUAAGUAAUAUAUCUAAUGUCCACCACUUGGUGGAGAGCUCCUCCUGGUUCACCCUGAAUGUCUGGUCUCAAAUAUUAUUUUUCUCUUCCAGAUCUACUCCUUCAUGCCUAAUAUCAUCAAGAUUUUUCACAACUACUGAAAUUGUUUACCUUCCAGCCACAUUCAAUAACCAGAUUCUUUAAUGCCACCUCCUAAAAUUUGCUUGCCACUGAUAAGAUUUAAAUUCCUUUCCAGCUCUAUUUCUAGUCAUGACCUCUGAAAAGAUACUCCUUCUGGGUCUGUGUUUCUCAUGUCUAAAAAUAUUUGUGCUAGAUCAAGGGAUAGCACAGGAGGGCCCAGGGGCCAAACACAGUCUGCUACCCAUUUUUGUAAAUAAACUUUUGUUUGUAAUUGUUUUUAUGCUGCAAAUUUGAGUAGUGACAGAGACUUCGUGUCCCACAAGCCUUAAAUAUUUACCAUCUGGCCCUUUCCAGAAAAAGUUUGCUGACCCCUAACCAGAAAAUCUCCCAUCUAGUUUCCAUUUUUUUAAAAUAUGUUUUUUUGUGACCACUCAUGAUCAAGUCUAGGGAUAAUAGGCAUUUUAAAAUUGCCCCCUAAUGUUUCAUUUUAAUUGAUUUAUCAUUAGAAGUCACCAACAGAAAUAAUUGCUUUUUUUUAAUAUUGCAAGAACCUUAUCAUAAAAUAUUCUUCAGUGUUUCAAAUUUGAAGCUUUUUGAAUUUUUAGUAUUUUUUUAAUAUGUUGUGUAAAUCCCACUGUUAGCCACCCUAACGAGACCUUGGUCUUAAGGUUUAAAAAACAAUAAGAAAAAGAGUAGAAAAAUUGAUAGUAGUAGAAUGUUUAACAAAAGAAAUUAAACAUGGGACAUCCCGUAAUGUUAGGAUCUCUGUUUCCCCCUCUAAUAGCCUUUGUGAUUCAAAGUCAUGUAGUGGUAAAUGGAUGAAUAGGAUUUUCAUUGCCAUUUUGUGCUGACAGGCUUUUUUUAGUUAAUUACUUUUUAAAAUAAUUUAUAGUGAAUACAUCGACAAUUCAAUUUAUACUUUGAUAGUUAAAGCCUCUUAAAAGGCACUGAUAACUAUAUUUUGAAGGUAAAGAAUACAGCUAGUUAAAAUUCUGACCACUGAUUGUAAGUAUAAUUAAGAAACCUUUUUUUAAGCAGUGGGGAACCUGGGUAAAAUAAAUGCAAACCAACAGCAAAACUGAUGGUAAAAGUAUAUAAAUUUUUAUAAAGGAAUGAGUUGCAGAAGAAAAAAUAUACUUUUAAAAUGUUACUAUUCAUCAAAGCAGAUUAUUUCCCAUCAUGAUAAAAUUCUUUCCACUUGCAUUUUCUGGCAUAUAUAAAAGGAAUAUUCAAGGUAUGUAAAAAAAAAAAUACUUAGAUAAAAAGUUGUGAAUAUCAACACUUACCUCAUGUGCUGAUGUGUACUGAUAACUGCAAGUUAUUUUGAAAUGUAUCAAAAAAAUGGUGGAUUGAUGUAUGGUUAGAGGGUUGGAUAUGUGAUGAACCAAAUACAGUAAAAUGUUAGUUGGAGACUAUGGGUAGUGGAUACAGGGGAUUGGUGUUCACUGUAAAACUUUCACAUCUUUUUUGUUUGAAAUUUUUCUUAACAUAUAUUAGAUAAAAUGUUUAGAUCUAAGUGGCUGUGAGAUAGUGAAUUUAGGGAGAAGGAUGUAAGAGUGAGAACACAUACAGUGUACCUUAAAUAAAUAAUUAAAAGUUUAUAUGUUGAGCAUACCUUGUGUAUAAGCACAUGCUUCUCAACUGUUUUAUUGUGUAUUUCACAGAUUUGCUUCCAUUAGGACUAUUCUUAGGUUAUAAGUAAAAAAAAACAAGAACUGUAAAACUUUCACUUCAAGGAACAUCCUGACUUUCACAUUAUACACUGUAACUCUAUUAGUCCAUUUUCAUGCUGCUGAUAAAGACAUACCAGAGACUGGGUAAUUUAGUAAGGAAAAAGAUUUAAUUGACUUACAGUUCCACAUUGGCUGGGGAGGCCUCACAGUCAUGGUGGAAGGUAAGGAGGAGCAAAAUCAUGUCUUACAUGGAUGGCGGCAGUCGAAAUAUGAGAGAUUGUCUUGUGCAGGGUAACUCCUUUAUAAAACCGUCAGAUCUCAUGAGAUUUAUUCACUGUCAUGAAAACAACAUGGGGCAAACUGCCCCCAUGAUUCAGUUAUCUCCCAUUGGGUCCCUCCCACAACAUGAGGGAAAUAUGGGAGCUACAAUUCAAAAUGAUAUUUGGGUGGGGACAUGGCCAAACCAUAUCAGUAACUCUUGAAUAAUCUCCUAUAGCCUCUAUAGGAAAGUUAGCUGAAUGGUUGAGAAGAGAAGUCCAUGUGAUUUCUGUUCACACUGGAAAUGGAUGUGUUUGCUAAUGAAUGUCACAUAAUUCUCAUUUCUUUUGGUAUUCUUGCCAACUCAUAGAGAGUUAGUGCUUUCUAUGUGUCUUAUGUUAGCAAAGUACUAAAUACAUAGAGAACGGCUAUACAACAAAUAGUGAUUCAAGAGUGGGGAUUUCUGAAGUAUCAUUUUGGUUAUUUUGAAAUAUAAUGAAAAAAUAUAAACAAAUAUGUUGUUUUAACUACAGUAGUAAAGAUUCAUGUAACUACAGCUCAUAUUAAGAAUUAGAGCUAGAAGAAUUACUUUUGCCCCAUCCCAGUCACAUCCCCUUUUUCACAUCCUCUGUGUUAAAAUAGAUAAUCUGUACUUGAUUUUAAUGAUGAGUAUUCUUACAUUUUUAUUUAGUUUUACAGUUUUACUGUGUAAAUUAAUUACCUCAUAACUAUUGUUUAGUGUUGUCUGAUACUGAACUUUAUAUAAGGCAGUCAUAUUGUGCGCAUUCAUUGUGGAGUAAAAGCUCACCACCGUGUUUGUGAGAUUCAUUCCUAAAGGUAUGUGUAGCUCUGGUUUAAUCCUCUCCAUUGCUAGUUAGUAUACUAUUCUAUGACUAUGCCACAAAUUUAUUUGUUAAUUCUACUGGUGGAUUUUUGCUUUUGUCGACAAUAUUUUAUUAUUAUGAACAAUGUUGCUUUAGAGGUAUAAUAAUUUCUCUGUUAGGGUAUAUAGCUUGAAAUGGAAAUCAGUAGGUUGUAGGGUCACUGAAGGUAUGUAUUUAUAAACACUCAUUUAUGUCAUUGCUGCUGUUGUUUGUUUUAAGUACUCAAAAGAAUCCAAUACAGUUGCAUGUUGUGGGGACAAUUAUUGAUAAGCUUAUUAGUACUACUCUCUCAUUCUUCACUCCUCACCCUCUCACCAGGUACAUGUAUACACAUACACAGACACACGCACAUAUCCCCAGAACAGUGUUAGGAAUGGAAGUUAGAAUAAGUGUUAUAAUUUAGAUUAUUUUUAUAGUCACCUUUUUAUUUUCUUUCUAAUAACAUAAGGAGUUUGCUCAGAAAUUACCUUAUAAACAGUUAAAGAUCAGUUUAUUUUUAACUUGAUUCCUUUUUGAUUUAUAUCAAUGAAUCAUUCUGUAGCUCAGAAUAUCCUUCCAUCUAUCUUACCCAAACUUAAUGUAUUCUAAUAGUUAAAAUAAUUUCUGAAAGUUUUUAUAGCAAGUAUAAUUGACAUACAAGAAACUACAUAUAGAGACCACAUCAAGAUAAAAAGCUUCUGCACAGCAAAGAAAACAGUUAAUAGACUGAAGAGACAAUUCACAAAAUGGGACAAAAUAUUUGCAAAUUAUCCAACUGACAAGAGGUUAAUAACCAGAAUAUAGAAGGAGCUCCAACAACUUUAUAAGAAAAAUAUCUAGUAAUCUGAUUUUGAAAUGGACAAAAGUUCUGAAUAGACACUGCUCAAAAGAAUUCAAACAAAUGGCAAACAGGUAUAUGAGAGGUGCUCAGUAUCAUUGAUCAUCAGAGAAAUGCAAAUCAAAACUGCAAUGAGAUGUCGUCUCACCCCAGAUAAAUGGCUUUAUCCAACUGAUGGGCAAUAUCAAAUGCUGGUGAGGAUGUGGAGAAAACAGAAUCCUUGUAUGUUGUUGGUGGUAAUGUAAAUUAGUACAGCUUCCAUGGAGAACAAUUCGGAGGCUCCUAAAAAGAAUUAAAAAUAGAGCUGCCAUACCAUCUAGCAAUCCCACUGCUAGGUGUAUAUCCAAAAGAAAGAAAAUCAGCAUAUUGAACGGAUAUCUGCACUCCUAUGUUUACUGCAGCAUUCUUCACAAUAGCCAAGAUUUGGAAGCAAUUUAAGUGUUCAUCAGCAUGGACACUUCAUGAAUGGAUAAAGAAAAUGUGAUACAUACACUCAUAAAGAAUGAGAUUCUGUUAUUUGCAACAACAUAGAUGGCAUCGGAAAUCAUCGUGUUAAGCCAAGCACAGCAAGACAAACUUUACAAGUUCUCAGUUAUUUGUGAGAGCUAAAAAUUAAAAUAAUUAAACUCAUGGAGACGGAGUAGAAUGAUGGUUAGCAGAGUCUGGGAAGGAUAGUUGAGGGGGAAGUAGGAAUGGUUAAUGGGUACAACACAAUAGAAAGAAUGAGUAAGAUCUGCUAUUUAAUAGCACAGCAGGGUGACUCUACUCAAUAAUAAUUUAAUUAAAUGUUGAAGAAUACCUUUAAAAGUAUAAUUGGGUUGUUUAUAACACAAACGAUAAAUGCUUGAGGUGAUGGGUACCACAUUUACCCUGAUGUGGUUAUUAUACCAUUGUAUGCCUACAUCA